This 1406-nucleotide ribosomal RNA is filed under the name Lactiplantibacillus plantarum. RNAcentral describes it as "bacterial SSU rRNA". It matches the Rfam family "Bacterial small subunit ribosomal RNA", at positions 56 to 1430 of the family's 1533-position model. The record is from RNAcentral. Lineage: Bacteria; Bacillati; Bacillota; Bacilli; Lactobacillales; Lactobacillaceae.
UGCAGUCGACGAACUCUGGUAUUGAUUGGUGCUUGCAUCAUGAUUUACAUUUGAGUGAGUGGCGAACUGGUGAGUAACACGUGGGAAACCUGCCCAGAAGCGGGGGAUAACACCUGGAAACAGAUGCUAAUACCGCAUAACAACUUGGACCGCAUGGUCCGAGCUUGAAAGAUGGCUUCGGCUAUCACUUUUGGAUGGUCCCGCGGCGUAUUAGCUAGAUGGUGGGGUAACGGCUCACCAUGGCAAUGAUACGUAGCCGACCUGAGAGGGUAAUCGGCCACAUUGGGACUGAGACACGGCCCAAACUCCUACGGGAGGCAGCAGUAGGGAAUCUUCCACAAUGGACGAAAGUCUGAUGGAGCAACGCCGCGUGAGUGAAGAAGGGUUUCGGCUCGUAAAACUCUGUUGUUAAAGAAGAACAUAUCUGAGAGUAACUGUUCAGGUAUUGACGGUAUUUAACCAGAAAGCCACGGCUAACUACGUGCCAGCAGCCGCGGUAAUACGUAGGUGGCAAGCGUUGUCCGGAUUUAUUGGGCGUAAAGCGAGCGCAGGCGGUUUUUUAAGUCUGAUGUGAAAGCCUUCGGCUCAACCGAAGAAGUGCAUCGGAAACUGGGAAACUUGAGUGCAGAAGAGGACAGUGGAACUCCAUGUGUAGCGGUGAAAUGCGUAGAUAUAUGGAAGAACACCAGUGGCGAAGGCGGCUGUCUGGUCUGUAACUGACGCUGAGGCUCGAAAGUAUGGGUAGCAAACAGGAUUAGAUACCCUGGUAGUCCAUACCGUAAACGAUGAAUGCUAAGUGUUGGAGGGUUUCCGCCCUUCAGUGCUGCAGCUAACGCAUUAAGCAUUCCGCCUGGGGAGUACGGCCGCAAGGCUGAAACUCAAAGGAAUUGACGGGGGCCCGCACAAGCGGUGGAGCAUGUGGUUUAAUUCGAAGCUACGCGAAGAACCUUACCAGGUCUUGACAUACUAUGCAAAUCUAAGAGAUUAGACGUUCCCUUCGGGGACAUGGAUACAGGUGGUGCAUGGUUGUCGUCAGCUCGUGUCGUGAGAUGUUGGGUUAAGUCCCGCAACGAGCGCAACCCUUAUUAUCAGUUGCCAGCAUUAAGUUGGGCACUCUGGUGAGACUGCCGGUGACAAACCGGAGGAAGGUGGGGAUGACGUCAAAUCAUCAUGCCCCUUAUGACCUGGGCUACACACGUGCUACAAUGGAUGGUACAACGAGUUGCGAACUCGCGAGAGUAAGCUAAUCUCUUAAAGCCAUUCUCAGUUCGGAUUGUAGGCUGCAACUCGCCUACAUGAAGUCGGAAUCGCUAGUAAUCGCGGAUCAGCAUGCCGCGGUGAAUACGUUCCCGGGCCUUGUACACACCGCCCGUCACACCAUGAGAGUUUGUAACACCCAAAGUCGG